This is a small nucleolar RNA of Sphenodon punctatus (tuatara), 68 nucleotides long. The record is from Ensembl. NCBI's taxonomy places the organism in Eukaryota, Metazoa, Chordata, Lepidosauria, Sphenodontia, Sphenodontidae.
GUCUUAUGAUGAAAACUUUGUCCAGUUCUGCUACUGAAUUAGAGCGAUGACAAUUGACGAUCUGAAGA